Molecule: long non-coding RNA, 1334 nt
Organism: Apodemus sylvaticus (European woodmouse)
Lineage: Eukaryota; Metazoa; Chordata; Mammalia; Rodentia; Muridae
Exons: 2
Source: RefSeq, a predicted model, not a curated record
UGUCCCCACCCUGGCAGCCGAUCUCCAGCAAACAGACAUGCCUGGGUUCCUGCUAGCUGCCCAUCCCACUGCCCUCAGAGUUCACAGGUGAGGGAGAUUCGGCUCAGAAAGGAUGCUUGGGUAGCUACAGAGAACCAACCGAGCAGGAUCUGAACCCAGAUCCCUGCUUUCCACCAGGUGGUAUGCUUUCCCAUGCUUGGCCUGAUCUCCAGUCAUCAGGUAGGUGUGACAAGGGACACUGGCAGGCCCCAUACCUACUAUGUGUUCUCCAGUCUCAGGCUCUGGACACCGAGCUGGACAUGUUCUAUCCACUGGCAAGGUGGAGGGAGAUCCCUUACUAACUUAGGGAGUGGGGCUCACAAAAGGCCACAGGGCAGGCAAGUGUGCAGAGAUCCUGCUAUGGGGCUGUUUGUGCAGAGUCCAUGUGGGUGAGGGAGAGAAGGACUCCCUGAAGACAGGGGCCUGUGUGGCUCUGUCACUCAUGGGACUGACAAGGCCCAAUAGAGACCCUGGGUCUAGGUCUCAUCUAGGCAGCUGUAUCUAUCCGUGGGGUCCACGAGGAACACAGGAGCCACUGGAGGAGGAGUUCAUCUGAAAGCAAGUGAGUGAGCUCACCAGAACUGCACCUCUAGAACAAGGACAGCAAAGGAGACUGUGAAGGAGAGGACCCGCCGGGGCCAGCGACACAGAUUUUCCAUCCAGCUCAGAAGAAGAGAGCCUGGGAUAACUGGCAUCCACUGGAGGUGUUUGGUUCUUCACAAACGCUAAUGGACACAUUUCAAAUAUCGGAUGAUACUUUUUUUUUUAACACAGCAGGGUUCCUAUAGCCUAGCAAGAGCAACUCCAGAGAGGCCCAAGGAAGCUCUGGAAUAAAAUCAUAGCUAACCCAAAUGCCCAUCAGUAGGGAAAUGGCUAAAUAACAAUGACUUCCAAGUACUAUGUAUUAGUGUCUUUAGAAAGAUGGUAGGUCUCCGUGUGAAGACCUAACCAGACUGGCUUUGAUGGCUCAAGCCCAUAAUCUCAGUAUUCAGAACACUGAGGCAGGAGGACCAACAAGCUGGAAGCCAGUCUGGGCUACAUAGCGAAGAGGGGCUGGUGGGGGAGAACAGGAAGACAGUCCAGGCAGGAGAGUGCUUGCUGUGCAUAAGGACCUGAGUUCAAACCCUAGGACUGUAAAAAAGCCAGGAGCACCACUGUGUUCUUCAAGUCCCAGGAGGCAGAAAGUGACCUGGGGUUUGCGAUCCAGCCAAAUCAGCAAGCUCCAGGCUAGGCAAGAGACUCUGGCUGGCACACACACACACACACACACACACACACACACACACACACAAACA